Molecule: ribosomal RNA, 250 nt
Filed under: uncultured archaeon
Lineage: Archaea
Also listed under: 1 other name
Description: partial 16S ribosomal RNA
Rfam family: Archaeal small subunit ribosomal RNA
Source: RNAcentral
CACCGGCAGCUCUAGUGGUAGCCAUUUUUAUUGGGCCUAAAGCGUUCGUAGCCGGUUUGAUAAGUCUCUGGUGAAAUCCUAUAGCUUAACUGUGGGACUUGCUGGAGAUACUAUUAGACUUGAGGUCGGGAGAGGUUAGCGGUACUCCCAGGGUAGGGGUGAAAUCCUGUAAUCCUGGGAGGACCACCUGUGGCGAAGGCGGCUAACUGGAACGAACCUGACGGUGAGGGACGAAAGCCAGGGGCGCGAA